Pyrus x bretschneideri (Chinese white pear) is the source of this 2410-nucleotide long non-coding RNA. RefSeq lists it as uncharacterized. The transcript has 2 exons. The record is from RefSeq and is a predicted model, not a curated record. Lineage: Eukaryota; Viridiplantae; Streptophyta; Magnoliopsida; Rosales; Rosaceae.
CCGUCGGCGUCGUCUAGGGUUUUAGUUGUAACAGAGCCUAUAAGGAGCACGGUAGCCCCUGUGAUUCAUCAACCUUCACUUCACAGACCUGACCGGAGUCUGGAGGCUGGAGCCGCCGUAGAAAUAUUACUAUUACCAUCCUCCUCUUGGUGAUCGCCCUGUCUCAUAUGGCCUUCUGGAUUCAGGGAAUUUCUAGAUUCAGGCCUGCAUAUGGACAGGGUGAUUACCAAAGGGAUGACGGUAAUAUUUAAUUCAUGAUGUUGGCAAACUCGUCGGAAAAUCGACCCCGGCGCUGGCAAACUCACCGGGGGCAGAGCUCUGAAGUGGCCGCCAUACCAACCCUCUCGCUGACAUUUCACGAAGAAGAUAAGGAACGCGAAAAUUAUGCUAAAUUUCAGUGCUUUUUGCUGUUUAUCUUUGUUUUUGUGUUCUUGGGUUUCAGGGUUUUGUUGCUGGUGACAGGGUUCGAAAGCCGGGUAUGAAUCAACUCUCAAUUCUAUGAAAUUUCAGUUUCGGUUUCGAUUUCAACGUCUGUUUUGAAAUUUGUUUCAUGUGGUUCGAAUUUGGAUCUCAAAUAUCGCCUUUGUGCACGGAUUUAUGAUGCAAAUCUUAAAUUUUGUAACUCGUCUAAAUUUGGAGUAUGUGAGAUUCGGUAUAUUCUGAGAUCGCAUCACCAAUCCGAGUAGUGUUGCAGCAGCAAAAUGAAAACUGGGACAAUAUAUGUUGGUGGAAAUCCUAUCAAAUCUGCCUCCCAAAACUCUGAUGCGAUUCAAAUGCGUCUCUAAAUGGUGGUAUGCUCUCAACACCAAUCCGAGUUUCGCAUUGAAAAACUCUCCAACUCACCAUCAACAGCCUCACCACUCGCGACCUCCUUUUCAAGAGAUUAGUAGUGCAGCUGCAGCAUGAGGAGGAGGAAACUGAACAAGUAUUCUUGUUGCUUUACUUAUGCAAAGACGGUGAUAAUAUCAAUGACGAGGAUAGCAAUAGCUACUCUCUUGUUGGUGUCCAGGAUAUUAUCCUCACUCUUUGACUUAGAAGGUCGGAGUCCAGGAACAACUGCAUAUUAUAGGCCACUGCAAUGGCAUUGUUUUACUAUAUAGUAAGGGUAGCUUUGUUUUAUGCAAUCCCGGAAAUGAGGAAUUCAUUCGUGUUCCCGAUGAGCCAUGCCUUCCAUUGUGGCCCAGAUUAGGUUUGGACCCGUGGGAGGAUUACAAUUGGCCAGAACAUAUUGAUACUGGUUUUCAUCCUGGAUUUGGCUAUGAUCCCAAAUAUAACGAGUACAAAUUUGUGGUCUUUACUACUUAUACUCAAGAGUCGGAUGACAUUAUGACACUUACUGCUUCACACAAAGCGGUAGUAUACACCAUCACUUGUGAUUCUUGAAAGAGCUCGAUACCGUUUCUUUAGAAGCUGAAACUACUUUGAUUUGGCCAGACAGGUUCCUGAUGUGCUUCAAGGGAAUGUGUUUUUGGCUGGGAAUUGAGCAAGAUAAGGAAAUAUCUGUUUAUGACACUUUAGAUGACCCAGAAGGCGGGAGAGUGAUCAUUUAUUUCGAUACAAGUCGCUAGGUAUUUCAUGGUAUACCCGAACCAUCUGAGCUCCAACGAUUACCCCCUGGGGUGUAACCUUGAUUUGAAGUUUAUUCCGUGGAAUGAAUCAGUUUCUUAUGGUUCACAAUGAUGGACGCGUAGUUUGCUUUAAUCUUUGUAUUAAAAAGCUUACAUGUACUCCCGCUGAAACACGAGGUGCCUUUGUUGGUUACGUGAAUGGCAUAGUUUCGGUCAUGGGACACAACCACAAGCCUGAGAGCAUAGAGAAUAAUUGCUCAGACAAAGGCGAAGAUGAGAUGGUGGUGGUAGACGGGAAGAGGGAAAGCUGCAGGAGGCGGUGCACAUAUUCCUUUUGGGCCAUUCAACCGGGUGAUGUUUCCCAUAGAAUCAAGAAGGUGAUGGAAGGCAUCCGGUCAGAGUUUGGUGCGUUUCCCUGUAAACAGUUCUAUGCCAUAUUUGAGCCCCCCCUACGCGAAGUUGACGGAAGAAGAAGAGAGGAAAAAAGCUCGGGAAAUGGUUGAUAUUCUGGAUGAGAGCAUUACUAGCUCGACCUUCCGCGUAACUCGCUUUACAUUGUAUGAAAUCGACUACGAUGGCAAAUCUCUGAAAUCUUGGACGAAGAUUGAUGAAAUCGGCCAUUAGACAAGUUCUCUGAAUUCAUGUAAUUGCAAGCAAGUUAGCGACUCUGAGGUUGAACAAAGUGGCAUACAUACAUGUUGCCCAAAUUUGAUACAUCAUGGAAUCCAUGGAUGAGAUAUGGUGAAAAUCUUUGAUGAAUGUAACCUAACGUAGCCUGCCAACGGAGAGUUUUUUUGGGUGUACUCUGAACAUUGUCAGUGUGAUAAAAUAGUUUUAAUCAA